GAGUUGGAUGGAGAGUUUCACCAAGCCACAAAUUUUUGAGCUGAGUAUUGAGCUGGAUCUCAAGAUGAGUAGGAAUUUACCAAGGGAGAAAAAAAAAAAAAAGGAGAGAGAAGAGAGUGCUUCACCAGCAGAGAAAGCAAGCAGCAUGGACCACAGGGUCAUCAAGUGAACACUGAUGAGGCCACAACCGCACUACUGGUCCAAUGCACUGAGACGGCCAUUAGCCCAUCUGGUGAAACUGAAUGUAAGACCAGAAAGGAAUCUCGGAGGUGACAAUCUGAUUGGAAGGAGAAUUACCCACAUUAUUUUCACUUGUCGAAGGAAGAGGAAGUCUAGUAAAGAAACAGAACUGAAAGAGAGACCAAAUGGCCCUUCAUCUUCUGAGUCAUUUCUAUCAUGUUUAUUUCUCCAUUUGCUCAAUUUCUUUGAGUACACAUGAGGCUGAACUCGCAUGUCAUCAGGUAAGCAGUCACCAAAAAAUAGAUGGCAUUUUCAUUUUGGGUCAGCAGAAGUACAUAUUCUAGAUCAGCCAUCAAUCUGGAGUCAAAUAGUAUGGUGUUUUGUUAGGGUUGAUUUAGUGGUAUUCAAAUCAAAAUAACCUUUUGCAUACUGAAAGUACAUUAUUGCAUAAUUCAUUUUAUGCAGUAUCUCAUUAAGUUUUUUUUUUUUUUUUUUUUUUUUUUUUUUUUUUUUACAUUCUUACCAAUUGACCUUAUUUGUCCAGGACUUAAUUUUCUGUGUCCCGCAAGCCCCUCAGUGUAUCCAGUGGUAACUGCCACUUUUAAUUUACCUGAGACUUAGCUACUUUGAUUUUAGUCUUGGACAAGUUCUGUGAAAAUGUCUUAUCUGUAAUCCAUUUCCUUAAUGUAUAUCAGGUAGUAAUAGAGAAAAAGAGUUAGAGUUAUAGAAGCACAAGGCUGAAUUAUCCAUUAGUUUGGGAAUUCAAAUUCUCUAUUUUUUUUGUUGUUGCUGUUGUUGUAUAUUAGAUUGUAGGAGGCAAAAUAGAUGGACAAUAAAAUCUUUGUUUUUGUGGUUCUGAAAAAAUAA
Molecule: long non-coding RNA, 1047 nt
Filed under: Felis catus (domestic cat)
Lineage: Eukaryota; Metazoa; Chordata; Mammalia; Carnivora; Felidae
Description: lncRNA (ENSFCAG00000042721.2)
Source: RNAcentral